Arachis ipaensis is the source of this 335-nucleotide non-coding RNA. Lineage: Eukaryota; Viridiplantae; Streptophyta; Magnoliopsida; Fabales; Fabaceae. The record is from RefSeq and is a predicted model, not a curated record.
GGUUUAUGCUGAGAAAUACGCUGAGGAUCAGGUAGCAUUCUUCGACGAUUAUGCUGAAGCCCAUGCUAAGCUAAGCAACCUUGGUGAAAAAUUUGAUCCUCCAGAGGGCAUCGUAUUAGAUCCUUCUCCAAAGCCACAAGCAGAGAAGUUUGAAGCAGCAAAGUACUCAACUGGAAAGGUUCUUUUCUUGCACCGUUUAUACUUAUAUUUUACUAUUCAUUUAGCUGACAGUUGUAGAAAUUUGUUAGGCAUCUCGUGAAAGACUAACACAAGAAAAUUUCAUAUAUAUGCGCGUAUUGUUCAUUGUUUCAAUUUUUCUGGUUUGGUGCAGGAUU